GACGAACGCUGGCGGCGUGCUUAACACAUGCAAGUCGAACGGAAAGGCCCUGCUUUUGUGGGGUGCUCGAGUGGCGAACGGGUGAGUAACACGUGAGUAACCUGCCCUUGACUUUGGGAUAACUUCAGGAAACUGGGGCUAAUACCGGAUAGGAGCUCCUGCUGCAUGGUGGGGGUUGGAAAGUUUCGGCGGUUGGGGAUGGACUCGCGGCUUAUCAGCUUGUUGGUGGGGUAGUGGCUUACCAAGGCUUUGACGGGUAGCCGGCCUGAGAGGGUGACCGGCCACAUUGGGACUGAGAUACGGCCCAGACUCCUACGGGAGGCAGCAGUGGGGAAUAUUGCACAAUGGGCGGAAGCCUGAUGCAGCAACGCCGCGUGCGGGACGACGGCCUUCGGGUUGUAAACCGCUUUCGCCUGUGACGAAGCGUGAGUGACGGCAAUGGGUAAAGAAGCACCGGCUAACUACGUG
Molecule: ribosomal RNA, 468 nt
Filed under: uncultured bacterium
Lineage: Bacteria
Description: partial 16S ribosomal RNA
Rfam family: Bacterial small subunit ribosomal RNA
Source: RNAcentral